UUACCCGCUGGAAUUUAAGCAUAUAAGUGAGCGGAGGCCAAGAAACUAAAGAGGACUCCCCUAGUAAUGGCGAAUGAACAGGGAUCAGCUCAGUAUGGAAAUCGGGCCUGUGGUCUUGACUUGUGGUCUCCAGAUGUGUUGCCAGCGGAGGCGCAGGUGUGUGCCUCUUGGAAAAGAGCAUCAGCGAGGGUGAGCAUCCCGUUCCUUUGCAGCCCUCCGCGCCCGGCGUGCAUUAUUCGAGUCGCGCUCUUCGGAAUUGGAGUGCAAAUUGGGUGGUAAAUUUCAUCUAAAGCUUAACAUUGGUUCAAGACCGAUAGCAAACAAGUACCAUGAGGGAAAGGUGAAAAGGACUUUGAAAAGAGAGUUAAAAGUGCCUGAAGUUGCUGAAAAGGAAGCGAAUGGAACCUGUGUUGCUGGGCGAGAUUGUUGCGUGCUCAUAUGAUUGCUUGCUCCUGCAGCGUGAGUGCACGGGUGAGCCUUGUCUAGGAUGCAUGCAGUGGUUCUUGCCUUGUCUGUCAAAUCCAGUUUACACUCGAGGACAAUGCCAGGGGCAUUGUAAGCUGGCCUCGGCUGCCUGAAUACGCCUGGCGGGACUCUUCGUUGAACUGCUAUGUGUGUGUCUGGUUGCAGUGCCUUUGUGAAAGACUCAUUCUGGUGGAGGGAACUUCAACUGGAAUUGCUGACAAAGGUGCCUCCCUGAUACAUCGUGGAUGACCAAAAGGCUCCACUCGACCCGUCUUGAAACACGGGACCAAGGA
Molecule: ribosomal RNA, 758 nt
Filed under: Prorocentrum panamense
Lineage: Eukaryota; Dinophyceae; Prorocentrales; Prorocentraceae
Description: partial large subunit ribosomal RNA
Rfam family: Eukaryotic large subunit ribosomal RNA
Source: RNAcentral